Molecule: long non-coding RNA, 1162 nt
Organism: Hippocampus zosterae (dwarf seahorse)
Lineage: Eukaryota; Metazoa; Chordata; Actinopteri; Syngnathiformes; Syngnathidae
Exons: 3
Source: RefSeq, a predicted model, not a curated record
CAGACACCAAGUGACCUGACUGAACCCUCUGGAGACCAUGAAUGGAAUGAUCGACACACUUCAUCCUUACAACAGACACCAAGUGUUCCGAUCCUGAUGAAACCUUUUGAAGAUCAAGAAAGGAGUGGAAGAUCCACUUCUUCCUUACAACAGACACCAAGUGACCUGACUGAACCCUCUGGAGACCAUGAAUGGAAUGAGAGAUAAAUUCUCAAAAUUCUCAAAUUUUCAAAAUUCUCAUUAUUUCCUGGAAUAUCUUAUUUUGAUUAUUUUAUUUUUCCAUUUUUAAUAAAUGCCUUCUUUUACAGGUGGGAAUAAGAGACGCACGUGGACAGAUUAUCAAUUGAAGGCUGUUGAGCGACAUAUGUUUGAUUUCAUAACAAGCCAUAAAGUUUCAGGUAAAACGAGCUGUGAGUCCUGUCUCCACGCAGAGCCAGCAGCUCUGAACGACAGAGGCUGGGUGUCCAUCAAAAACUACAUCCACAACAGGAUAUAACUGCAUUAAAAAGGGAAAUGAAUGGCUAGUCCAUUGAAAUGCGAGCACGUCUGGGUACAUUUCAGUUCAAGUUAACUAAAGCAAUAGCAAUGGUGCAUUUAGGGUGGGAUGGUCAAUUAUGGAUUUCAUAUUUGUUGUUGGAUACUGUGUUUCACGUUUGUUGUUUCAUGAUCUUCAAGAGCAAUUUGGAAAAUCCUUGAAGAUGUAUGAACAUGUAAAUUAUACUGUAUAUCAGGCAUGUCCCGAUCUGGGCCUGGAGGGCCACUGUCGUGCCUGUUUUCCAGCUCUCCCGGCUGCAUCACACCUGUUUCAGAUGAUCAGUUCAUCAGUCAGCUCUGAUGCAGCAUUAGAACAUCCUGGGAGAGCUGGAAAACAAAAAGACAGCGGCCCUUGAGGACCGACUUUGGACACUCCUGCUGUAUAUAAACGUACGUACGAUAUACAAACUUCUCACAAAAGAUAGGCUUAUUAGGUUUGAGGUGAUAUUUCGGAAAAACCCUAAAACAUUUGAAUUCAUCCUAUUUCAAGAAUUUCAAUACUUUUUGAAAAGUUGCUUUUGUCUAACGGUAGCUAAAGAAGUUGCUACACACAUGGCACAAUAUAUGGCCAGAUUCAUUAAAAAUUCUUCAUCGCAGUUUUCACAUUUUGACAUAAUCUUCUUCAGUU